RNAcentral lists this ribosomal RNA (935 nucleotides) under Geastrum aff. lageniforme COFC Hama 327. Its description in RNAcentral is "eukaryotic LSU rRNA". It matches the Rfam family "Eukaryotic large subunit ribosomal RNA", at positions 1 to 917 of the family's 3401-position model. Lineage: Eukaryota; Fungi; Basidiomycota; Agaricomycetes; Geastrales; Geastraceae. The record is from RNAcentral.
UUUGACCUCAGAUCAGGUAGGACUACCCGCUGAACUUAAGCAUAUCAAUAAGCGGAGGAAAAGAAACUAACAAGGAUUCCCCUAGUAACGGCGAGUGAAGAGGGAAGAGCUCAAAUUUGAAAUCUGGCGGCCUACGGUCGUCCGAGUUGUAAUCUAGAGAAGUGUUUUCCUUACUGGACCGUGUACAAGUCCUUUGGAACAAGGCGUCAUAGAGGGUGAGAAUCCCGUCUACGACACGGACUCCCAGUAUUUUGUGAUACACUCUCAACGAGUCGAGUUGUUUGGGAAUGCAGCUCAAAAUGGGUGGUAAAUUCCAUCUAAAGCUAAAUAUGGGCGAAAGACCGAUAGCGAACAAGUACCGUGAGGGAAAGAUGAAAAGCACUUUGGAAAGAGAGUUAAACAGUACGUGAAAUUGUUGAAAGGGAAACGCUUGAAGUCAGUCGCGUCUUCAGAAACUCAGCCUGGCUUCUGCCUGGUGUACUUUUCUGUGGGACGGGCCAGCAUCAGUUUCGGCCGCCAGAAAAAGGUGGGAGGAAGGUGGCACCUCCGGGUGUGUUAUAGCCUCUCAUCGUAUGUGGCGGCGGGGACUGAGGACCGCAGCACGCCUCUAUGGCCGGGGUUCGCCCACGUAACGUGCUUAGGAUGCUGGCGUAAUGGCUUUAAACGACCCGUCUUGAAACACGGACCAAGGAGUCUAACAUGCCUGCGAGUAUUUGGGUGGCAAACCCAUAUGCGGAAUGAAAGUGAACAGUUGGGACUUCUGUCAUGGAAGGCACCGACGCCCGGACCAGACCUAUUGUGACGGAUCCGAGGUAGAGCAUGUAUGUUGGGACCCGAAAGAUGGUGAACUAUGCCUGAGUAGGGUGAAGCCAGAGGAAACUCUGGUGGAGGCUCGUAGCGAYUCUGACGUGCAAAUCGAUCGUCGAACUUGGGUA